RNAcentral lists this ribosomal RNA (253 nucleotides) under uncultured bacterium. RNAcentral describes it as "partial 16S ribosomal RNA". It matches the Rfam family "Bacterial small subunit ribosomal RNA", at positions 524 to 776 of the family's 1533-position model. The record is from RNAcentral.
UACGUAGGGCGCAAGCGUUGUCCGGAAUUAUUGGGCGUAAAGAGCUCGUAGGCGGUUUGUCGCGUCUGCUGUGAAAACCUAAGGCUCAACCUUGGGCUUGCAGUGGGUACGGGCAGACUAGAGUGCGGUAGGGGUGACUGGAAUUCCUGGUGUAGCGGUGGAAUGCGCAGAUAUCAGGAGGAACACCGAUGGCGAAGGCAGGUCACUGGGCCGCAACUGACGCUGAGGAGCGAAAGUGUGGGGAGCGAACAGG